GACGAACGCUGGCGGCGUGCCUAAUACAUGCAAGUAGAACGCUGAAGAGAGGAGCUUGCUCUUCUUGGAUGAGUUGCGAACGGGUGAGUAACGCGUAGGUAACCUGCCUUGUAGCGGGGGAUAACUAUUGGAAACGAUAGCUAAUACCGCAUAACAAUGGAUGACACAUGUCAUUUAUUUGAAAGGGGCAAUUGCUCCACUACAAGAUGGACCUGCGUUGUAUUAGCUAGUAGGUGAGGUAAUGGCUCACCUAGGCGACGAUACAUAGCCGACCUGGGAGGGUGAUCGGCCACACUGGGACGGAGACACGGCCCAGACUCCUACGGGGGGCAGCAGUAGGGAAUCUUCGGCAAUGGGGGCAAGCCUGACCGAGCAACGCCGCGGGAGUGAAGAAGGUUGUCGGAUCGUAAAGCUCGGUUGUAAGUCAAGAACGGGUGUGAGAGUGGAAAGUUCACACUGUGACGGUAGCUUACCAGAAAGGGACGGCUAACUACGUG
Molecule: ribosomal RNA, 497 nt
Filed under: uncultured bacterium
Lineage: Bacteria
Description: partial 16S ribosomal RNA
Rfam family: Bacterial small subunit ribosomal RNA
Source: RNAcentral